CCUACGGGUGGCAGCAGUGAGGAAUAUUGGUCAAUGGACGGGAGCCUGAACCAGCCAAGUCGCGUGAGGGAAGACGGUUCUAUGGAUUGUAAACCCCUUUAGGCGGGGAGCAAAGCCGGGCACGUGUGCCCGGAGGGAGAGUACCCGCAGAAUAAGCAUCGGCUAACUCCGUGCCAGCAGCCGCGGUAAUACGGGGGAUGCGAGCGUUAUCGGGUUUUAUUGGGUUUACAGGGUGCGUAGGCGGAUUUUUAAGUCAGCGGUAAAAUGUCCGGGCUCAACCCGGGCCGGCCGUUGAAACUGGGGAUCUUGAGUGUAGGAGAGGUAUGCGGAAUGCGUGGUGUAGCGGUGAAAUGCAUAGAUAUCACGCAGAACUCCGAUUGCGAAGGCAGCAUACCGGCGCCCGACUGACGCUGAGGCACGAAAGCGUGGGGAUCGAACAGGAUUAGAUACCCGGGUAGUC
Molecule: ribosomal RNA, 460 nt
Filed under: uncultured bacterium
Lineage: Bacteria
Description: partial 16S ribosomal RNA
Rfam family: Bacterial small subunit ribosomal RNA
Source: RNAcentral